CCGUUAGAGAGUGCAAGUCCUCAGACUGCAGGAGGAGGAACUCCCGUCCUUCGGUAGUGUCACUACUUAGAGGCAGCUGUGAGGAGCUGUGAUUAAUCGUGGAAUGUGCUGAUGUGCCCACUAAAGAUGCCUGGUAAGCAGUGGCUCCUCUAACAAGUGGGCAGCUUGGAACUGGGAACGAGAGAGCCACCGAAACAGAAUGAGGGAGACAAAGAAGUGGGCAUCACCCUUAACUCCACAAGGGCUUCCCAAGGGCGCUGUACCGUACGCAGGCCCAGGACGAACUUUAUUUCUCGCCCCAGCAUCGCUGUCCUUGUCGGUGAGACCCUGGCUUUAGGGCAGACAGGACCACGUUUCAUAAGUUCAUGCUGUCCCAGCAGAGGAAUAACGCCAGAAAGUGUUCCAGUACAACCAGAGAAAGAGAGUCCAUGAGAAAUCUGCCCUUGUGAAGUUGGAAUCCCCUCAACCUCACCCCGCUGACUUGAAUGAAGCGACUGAGACGGGCUAUGAUGGAGCAGAUCCGGUUGCUCGACCUUCUCCCUUGCACCAACACAUGUAGUUAAUAGUUACUGGACAUGCAUAUUCAGUGGGUUCCAGGUACCAAACUUGUAUUGAAUGGUAUGUGCCAGACACCGUCUUGAGAUCUGGAGAAUAAAAAAAUAAAAAAAUAAAAACGAGACAUCCAGAGCACAGUAGCCUUGCGGUCUUCCU
This 711-nucleotide long non-coding RNA is filed under the name Homo sapiens (human). RNAcentral describes it as "FLVCR1 divergent transcript". The record is from RNAcentral. Lineage: Eukaryota; Metazoa; Chordata; Mammalia; Primates; Hominidae.